This 199-nucleotide ribosomal RNA is filed under the name uncultured bacterium. Its description in RNAcentral is "partial 16S ribosomal RNA". It matches the Rfam family "Bacterial small subunit ribosomal RNA", at positions 328 to 538 of the family's 1533-position model. The record is from RNAcentral.
ACGCUCGACACCUACGGGAGCAGCAGUGGGGAAUAUUGCACAAUGGGGGAAACCCUGAUGCAGCGACGCCGCGUGAAGGAAGAAGUAUCUCGGUAUGUAAACUUCUAUCAGCAGGGAAGAAAGUGACGGUACCUGACUAAGAAGCCCCGGCUAACUACGUGCUAGCAGCCGCGGUAAUCUGAGGCGGGCUGGACAAGGC